Molecule: ribosomal RNA, 370 nt
Filed under: uncultured bacterium
Lineage: Bacteria
Description: bacterial SSU rRNA
Rfam family: Bacterial small subunit ribosomal RNA
Source: RNAcentral
GUAUGGUGCAAGCGUUAUCCGGAUUUACUGGGUGUAAAGGGAGCGUAGACGGAGUGGCAAGUCUGAUGUGAAAACCCGGGGCUCAACCCCGGGACUGCAUUGGAAACUGUCAAUCUAGAGUACCGGAGAGGUAAGCGGAAUUCCUAGGGUAGCGGUGAAAUGCGUAGAUAUUAGGAGGAACACCAGUGGCGAAGGCGGCUUACUGGACGGUAACUGACGUUGAGGCUCGAAAGCGUGGGGAGCAAACAGGAUUAGAUACCCUGGUAGUCCACGCCGUAAACGAUGACUACUAGGUGUCGGGCAGCAAAGCUGUUCGGUGCCGCAGCAAACGCAAUAAGUAGUCCACCUGGGGAGUACGUUCGCAAGAAUG